RNAcentral lists this ribosomal RNA (497 nucleotides) under uncultured bacterium. RNAcentral describes it as "partial 16S ribosomal RNA". It matches the Rfam family "Bacterial small subunit ribosomal RNA", at positions 28 to 507 of the family's 1533-position model. The record is from RNAcentral.
GAUGAACGCUGGCGGCGUGCCUAAUACAUGCAAGUCGAACGCAUAGCGAAAGGUGCUUGCACCUUUCAAGUGAGUGGCGAACGGGUGAGUAACACGUGGACAACCUGCCUCAAGGCUGGGGAUAACAUUUGGAAACAGAUGCUAAUACCGAAUAAAACUUAGUGUCGCAUGACACAAAGUUAAAAGGCGCUUCGGCGUCACCUAGAGAUGGAUCCGCGGUGCAUUAGUUAGUUGGUGGGGUAAAGGCCUACCAAGACAAUGAUGCAUAGCCGAGUUGAGAGACUGAUCGGCCACAUUGGGACUGAGACACGGCCCAAACGCCUACGGGAGGCUGCAGUAGGGAAUCUUCCACAAUGGGCGAAAGCCUGAUGGAGCAACGCCGCGUGUGUGAUGAAGGCUUUCGGGUCGUAAAGCACUGUUGUAUGGGAAGAACAGCUAGAAUAGGAAAUGAUUUUAGUUUGACGGUACCAUACCAGAAAGGGACGGCUAAAUACGUG